Molecule: unclassified non-coding RNA, 395 nt
Filed under: soil metagenome
Description: partial contains 5.8S ribosomal RNA, internal transcribed spacer 2, and large subunit ribosomal RNA
Rfam family: 5.8S ribosomal RNA (bases 1-122)
Source: RNAcentral
GAUGAAGAACGUAGUGAAAUGCGAUACUUGGUGUGAAUUGCAGAAUCCCGUGAACCAUCGAGUCUUUGAACGCAAGUUGCGCCCGAAGCCAUCAGGUUGAGGGCACGUCUGCCUGGGCGUCACAUAUCGUUGCCCAAUGCCUAUUGCAGUGCAAUAGGAAUUUCUAGGGCGAAUGAUGGCUUCCCGUGAGCGUUGUUGCCUCGCGGUUGGUUGAAAAUCGAGCCCUUGGUAGGGUGUGCCAUGGUAGAUGGUGGUCGAGUUAGAACGAUACCGAUCAUGUGCAUGCUCCCCAAAAUAUGGCCUCUAUGACCCACACGCGUCUUUUGACGCUCAUGACGAGACCUCAGGUCAGGCGGGGCUACCCGCUGAAUUUAAGCAUAUCAAUAAGCGGAGGA